AAAUGCGAUAAGUAAUGUGAAUUGCAGAAUUCAGUGAAUCAUCGAAUCUUUGAACGCACCUUGCGCUCCUUGGUAUUCCUUGGAGCAUGCCUGUUUGAGUAUCAUGAAAUCUUCAAAGUAAAUCUUUUGUUAACUCAAUUGGUUUCUACUUUGGUAUUGGAGGUCUUUGCAGCUUCACACCUGCUCCUCUUUGUUCAUUAGCUGGAUCUCAGUGUUAUGCUUGGUUCCACUCGGCGUGAUAAGUUAUCUAUCGCUGAGGACACUGUAAAAGGUGGCCAAGGUAAAUGCAGAUGAACCGCUUCUAAUAGUCCAUUGACUUGGACAAUACUUUUAUGAUCUGAUCUCAAAUCAGGUAGGACUACCUGCUGAACUUAAGC
RNAcentral lists this unclassified non-coding RNA (377 nucleotides) under plant metagenome. RNAcentral describes it as "partial contains 5.8S ribosomal RNA, internal transcribed spacer 2, and large subunit ribosomal RNA". The stretch from base 1 to 104 matches the Rfam family "5.8S ribosomal RNA", at positions 51 to 154 of the family's 154-position model. The record is from RNAcentral.